RNAcentral lists this ribosomal RNA (439 nucleotides) under uncultured bacterium. RNAcentral's name for it is "partial 16S ribosomal RNA". It matches the Rfam family "Bacterial small subunit ribosomal RNA", at positions 339 to 795 of the family's 1533-position model. The record is from RNAcentral.
CUACGGGAUGCACCAGUGAGGAAUAUUGCACAAUGGGGGGAACCCUGAUGCAGCAACGCCGCGUGGAGGAUGACGCGUUUCGGUGUGUAAACUCCUUUUAUAUGUCAAGAAAAUGACGGUAGCAUAUGAAUAAGCACCGGCUAACUCCGUGCCAGCAGCCGCGGUAAUACGGAGGGUGCAAGCGUUACUCGGAAUCACUGGGCGUAAAGGACGCGUAGGCGGGGUGGAAAGUCAGGUGUGAAAUCCUACAGCUUAACUGUAGAACUGCACUUGAAACUUCUAAUCUAGAGUAUGGGAGGGGGAGAUGGAAUUAGUGGUGUAGGGGUAAAAUCCGUAGAUAUCACUAGGAAUACCUAAAGCGAAGGCGAUCUCCUGGAACAUUACUGACGCUAAGGCGUGAAAGCGUGGGGAGCAAACAGGAUUAGAUACCCGGGUAGUC